AUAUCAAUAAGCGGAGGAAAAGAAACUAACAAGGAUUCCCCUAGUAACUGCGAGUGAAGCGGGAAAAGCUCAAAUUUAAAAUCUGGUAGUCUUUGGCUGCCCGAGUUGUAAUCUAGAGAAGCGUUAUCCGCGCUGGACCGUGUAUAAGUCUCCUGGAAUGGAGCGUCAUAGAGGGUGAGAAUCCCGUCUUUAACACGGACUCCCAGGGCUUUGUGAUGCGCUCUCAAAGAGUCGAGUUGUUUGGGAAUGCAGCUCUAAAUGGGUGGUAAAUUCCAUCUAAAGCUAAAUAUUGGCGAGAGACCGAUAGCGCACAAGUA
Molecule: ribosomal RNA, 317 nt
Filed under: uncultured Agaricales
Lineage: Eukaryota; Fungi; Basidiomycota; Agaricomycetes; Agaricales
Description: partial large subunit ribosomal RNA
Rfam family: Eukaryotic large subunit ribosomal RNA
Source: RNAcentral